Molecule: ribosomal RNA, 472 nt
Filed under: uncultured organism
Description: partial 16S ribosomal RNA
Rfam family: Bacterial small subunit ribosomal RNA
Source: RNAcentral
CACUCCUACGGGAGGCAGCAGUAGGGAAUCUUCGGCAAUGGGGGCAACCCUGACCGAGCAACGCCGCGUGAGUGAAGAAGGUUUUCGGAUCGUAAAGCUCUGUUGUAAGUCAAGAACGAGUGUGAGAGUGGAAAGUUCACACUGUGACGGUAGCUUACCAGAAAGGGACGGCUAACUACGUGCCAGCAGCCGCGGUAAUACGUAGGUCCCGAGCGUUGUCCGGAUUUAUUGGGCGUAAGCGAGCGCAGGCGGUUUGAUAAGUCUGAAGUUAAAGGCUGUGGCUCAACCAUAGUUCGCUUUGGAAACUGUCAAACUUGAGUGCAGAAGGGGAGAGUGGAAUUCCAUGUGUAGCGGUGAAAUGCGUAGAUAUAUGGAGGAACACCGGUGGCGAAAGCGGCUCUCUGGUCUGUAACUGACGCUGAGGCUCGAAAGCGUGGGGAGCGAACAGGAUUAGAAACCCCGGUAGUCCCAU